GUGUUGUGUUGUAAGGGCGCAUGGUGGAUGCCUUGGCAUAGUAGGCCGAUGAAGGACGUGAGAGGCUGCGAUAGGCCUCGGGGAGCUGCCAACUGAGCGUUGAUCCGAGGGUGUCCGAAUGGGGAAACCUGGCCGUCGUUGUGGGCGGUCGCCGUUAGAUGAAUUCAUAGUCUAAUUGGUGGUUACGCGGGGAAGUGAAACAUCUCAGUACCCGUAGGAGUAGAAAAUAAUUGUGAUUCCGUUAGUAGUGGCGAACGAACGUGGAUGAGGCUAAACCGCGUGCGUGUGAUACCUGGCAGGGUUUGCGUGCGUGGGGUUGUGGGGAUGCACUUUGCAGGGUCUGCUAGUCCUGCGUUGUGUUGUGUGGGUGUAGCGGAAGUGGAUUGGAAUGUCCUGCCGUAGACGGUGAGAGUCCGGUACGUGAAACACCCGUGCGUGCAAUUGGUGUGUUGCCCGAGUAGCAGCGGGCUCGUGGAAUCUGCUGUGAAUCUGCCGGGACCACCCGGUAAGCCUAAAUACCUGCUUAUGACCGAUAGCGGAUUAGUACCGUGAGGGAAUGGUGAAAAGUACCCCGGGAGGGGAGUGAAAUAGUACCUGAAACCAUGUGCUUACAAUCCGUCAGAGCCCUUUUUUGUGGGGUGAUGGCGUGCCUUUUGAAGAAUGAGCCUGCGAGUCAGCGGCAUGUCGCGAGGUUAACCCGUUUGGUGGGGUAGUCGUAGCGAAAGCGAAUACUAACUAGUGUGUUUUUUAGUGGCAUGUCCUGGACCCGAAGCGGGGUGAUCUACCCAUGGCCAGUGUGAAGCAGAGGUAAGACUCUGUGGAGGCGCGAACCCACUUAGGUUGAAAACUGAGGGGAUGAGCUGUGGGUAGGGGUGAAAGGCCAAUCAAACUCCGUGAUAGCUGGUUCUCCCCGAAAUGCAUUUAGGUGCAGCGUCGUGUGUUUCCUCCUGGAGGUAGAGCUACUGGUUGGUUUAGCGGGACUAUCAUCUUAGCGACAUCAGCCAAACUCCGAAUGCCGGUGAGGUCAGAGCACGGCAGUGAGACUGCGGGGGAUAAGCUUCGUAGUCGAGAGGGAAACAGCCCAGAUCGCCGGCUAAGGCCCCUAAGGGUGUGCUAAGUGGAAAAGGAUGUGGGAUCGCGAAGACAACCAGGAGGUUGGCUUAGAAGCAGCCAUCCUUGAAAGAGUGCGUAAUAGCUCACUGGUCGAGUGGUUCUGCGCCGACAAUGUAGUGGGGCUCAAGUACACCGCCGAAGCCGCGGCAAUCACCUUUU
RNAcentral lists this ribosomal RNA (1272 nucleotides) under Corynebacterium sp. HMSC075F02. RNAcentral describes it as "bacterial LSU rRNA". It matches the Rfam family "Bacterial large subunit ribosomal RNA", at positions 1 to 1217 of the family's 2925-position model. Lineage: Bacteria; Bacillati; Actinomycetota; Actinomycetes; Mycobacteriales; Corynebacteriaceae. The record is from RNAcentral.